GACGAACGCUGGCGGCGUGCUUAACACAUGCAAGUCGAGCGGUAAGGCCCUUUCGGGGGUACGACGAGCGGCGAACGGGUGAGUAACACGUGGGUGACCUGCCCUCAGCUCUGGGAUAAGCCUGGGAAACUGGGUCUAAUACUGGAUAUGACUCCACGGUGCAUGUCGUGGGGUGGAAAGCCUUGUGCGGCUGAGGAUGGGCCCGCGGCCUAUCAGCUUGUUGGUGGGGUGANGGCCUACCAAGGCGACGACGGGUAGCCGGCCUGAGAGGGCGACCGGCCACACUGGGACUGAGACACGGCCCAGACUCCUACGGGAGGCAGCAGUGGGGAAGUCUUGCGCAAUGGGCGAAAGCCUGACGCAGCGACGCCGCGUGAGGGAUGACGGCCU
This 390-nucleotide ribosomal RNA is filed under the name uncultured bacterium. Its description in RNAcentral is "bacterial SSU rRNA". It matches the Rfam family "Bacterial small subunit ribosomal RNA", at positions 28 to 417 of the family's 1533-position model. The record is from RNAcentral.